UACGGAGGGAGCUAGCGUUGUUCGGAAUUACUGGGCGUAAAGCGCACGUAGGCGGCUUUGUAAGUUAGAGGUGAAAGCCUGGAGCUCAACUCCAGAACUGCCUUUAAGACUGCAUCGCUUGAAUCCAGGAGAGGUGAGUGGAAUUCCGAGUGUAGAGGUGGAAUUCGUAGAUAUUCGGAAGAACACCAGUGGCGAAGGCGGCUCACUGGACUGGUAUUGACGCUGAGGUGCGAAAGCGUGGGGAGCAAACAGG
RNAcentral lists this ribosomal RNA (253 nucleotides) under uncultured bacterium. RNAcentral's name for it is "partial 16S ribosomal RNA". It matches the Rfam family "Bacterial small subunit ribosomal RNA", at positions 524 to 776 of the family's 1533-position model. The record is from RNAcentral.